Molecule: small nuclear RNA, 100 nt
Filed under: Marmota marmota marmota (Alpine marmot)
Lineage: Eukaryota; Metazoa; Chordata; Mammalia; Rodentia; Sciuridae
Also listed under: 1 other name
Description: U2 spliceosomal RNA
Rfam family: U2 spliceosomal RNA
About the family: U2 is a small nuclear RNA (snRNA) component of the spliceosome (involved in pre-mRNA splicing). Complementary binding between U2 snRNA (in an area lying towards the 5' end but 3' to hairpin I) and the branchpoint sequence (BPS) of the intron results the bulging out of an unpaired adenosine, on the BPS, which initiates a nucleophilic attack at the intronic 5' splice site, thus starting the first of two transesterification reactions that mediate splicing.
Source: Rfam by way of RNAcentral
ACACAUCCAUGGCCUUUUGGCUAAGAUCAAGUGUAGUAUCUGUUCUUAUCAGUUUAAUAUGUAAAGCAACUUUUCUUUUUUAAACUUUUUAAAAAUUCAU